This is a long non-coding RNA of Peromyscus californicus insignis, 8576 nucleotides long. RefSeq lists it as uncharacterized. The record is from RefSeq and is a predicted model, not a curated record. The transcript has 2 exons. NCBI's taxonomy places the organism in Eukaryota, Metazoa, Chordata, Mammalia, Rodentia, Cricetidae.
CUUGAGUGAUGGUAGGGGUUACUAUGCAUAAAGAACAACCCUGAAAGUGGCCAGUUUGUAAUCUCAGGGCGGUUAACUUAAUCAGUUUCUUCAACUAGAAAAUGGAGUGAUCCUAGCUGAUGGAAGAAAGAUCAAGAUAAUAAUGGCAUCAUAGUGCCAAGCAGCAAGAGUCUACUGAGGCCACAGGAGUGUUCCGUGGACACUAUCACGUUUCAUUCAAGAGCCUUCUUCCAGUAACUAAUGGAAGCAGAUGAAGAGAUCUACAGCCAAGCACCAGGCCGAGCUCCAGGAGUCCAGUCGAAGACAGGAAAGAGGGAUUCUAUGGGCAAGUGGCAUCAAGGUCAGGAUUUGAUUUCUUGAACACUUAACCUUUUCUCAAAACUCUUUGCUAGCCCAACUUACUUUAAGAAUUUCUCUACCUUGUGUCUAUUUACUAUUGGUAAGAGCACACCAACUGUGAUUGCUCCUGCCAAUAUGGUACCACCCACCUACUGAUGCUGCACAUUCUUCACAAGUCUCCCGUGAUGGAAGUGUCUGUGUUCAUUUCCAAACUCUUUCAUUCUCCCAAUAAAUAAAGAAACCAAAUGACUUUGUUUAUCCUCUCAUAGCUGCUUCUUCCAGUUUCUUCUCUGAAUCCCCCCAUCUCUCUGCUCCAUCUCUCGCCCCUUCUUCCCUUUGUUUAUGCCUUCCACCAGUGUCUUCAACUUUUCCUCCUCUACUGCUCCGUUGCCAUCAGUGUUUAGUUAUCUCUGUCCUCUGCUCCUUGUCAUUACUUUAAUGAUCUAAUUCCAUUUCCUUUUAGUCUGCUCACUCCUUCAUUCAGUGUUAACUGGCUUCUUCUACUAUAAUUCUGGAAAACAGUCAUCACUAAGCCAAGAAUCAUUAUCCAUUUUAUGAUAAAUUCAUCACAAUUCUAUAGGUCUUUGGGUAUGUCAUUUAUCUUUUAAAAUAUAUGCAAUGUGAUCAUUCUAAUCUCUAAAAUCCAGUAAUUAUCUUUCGUUAUCUUGUGCUUUUGUAUACCGCAUCACUAUGGGCAACCACAUAAAAAUUAAAUCCUUUGUACAAUUACAUUUGUCAUUUACAUUUUACAGUUGUCAUUUAAAAAAAUCAGGAUCAUGCUUCAUCAAGUUGUCAUUUUAAAGAAUCAGAAUUAUGCAUCAAAUAUAUAUCUGCUUUGACAUGUGUGCAAUUUUUAGAUAAAUAUGAAUUACUUCAUAUUGCAAAAUAUUGUUCUGGUUUUUUUGCAGCAUUUAUAUACUAUACUAACUUAAGCCUCUAUAGUAGUGAAUUGACCCAAAGUGGAGUGAGAAAAUGAUCAUCAGUACUUCUGAGAAAGGAGAUUUUCUUACUCAACAUUAUGCCCCAUGCACGUGGUAUGACAAGUUCAAUAAGCUGAUUGGUUGCUAUGCUCUGCUAUCUAACUCUUCCACUUCCCAGCUCCUCCCUGCACUAUGAAACCACAGCAGUGCCAAUGUCAGCAGCAAUGUGAUCUGUCAAUCUUAAGAGCCUCAGGAAAACGGUGACUUUCUAGUAUAAGGAUAUAGCUAAUCUGCAGAACCAGAGUCCUGGGCCUGAGCAGAACUCCCCGUGAGGGUGGAUGGGGGCAUGCAGUCUGCAUGCACCAUGCCAACACUGACUCUUGAUCCCAAGUUUCAGAGAAAUACAGGACCAUUUAUGGAUCUGUUGUGUGUUCAGGACGUGGGAGUGCCCACGUACAGAAAACAGUCCACGGUUGCUUUCCGAAUGGGGAUUAUAGGCAGUAAGUCCAGCUGAAAUAUUGUGAUGAUCAUUUUGACUUUACAGAUGAGGAAAAUCAGCCAUGAUGAGGGUCAAAUGUUGUGUUCAGCAUCACUAGCCUAAGGAGGGAUAUAUGUCUCAGAUUCAAGCCAAGAAGUCUGGCUCCAGUCCUAUGCUUUCUUAUUUAUAGUAUUUCCAGAAAGAUCUGUCAACCAAACGUCAGGAUGCCAGGAACUAAGACUACAACUAAGCAAAAACUAAAUCAUUACCUUCAGAAGGAGCUCUUGUUUCUCUACUCUGCAAAUGAGCUAUUGAAGGCGAUAGUUAAGCAUCCACCUUGCCUUUUCCUUUAGAAUCGGCAGUGCAGGCUAACCAGAGGGGCCCCGUUCAAAGGAGGAAAGUGGGGGGAAACUCUUCUUUGUGAUUAAAUGUCUCUGUAGGUGAUCAGGUGAUGCAAGGAGGCUAAAACUCGGGCACCCGUUUCCUUUGCUUUUUCUCUUUCCUUUUCUGCCAUCCCAAAGCUUAUCCUUGGCAGAUGCUGCAUAAUAGCAGCAAAGCCACUCUAGAGGGAGUCCCUCACCCAUUUCCUCAGCUCCAAAAGGAAGCCAGUUGUUAAGAAGAAAUUAAUUUAUGCUAAUGUCUCAAAACCCUGCCAAAACGUUCCUUGGGAUCUCCAUUAACAUUUAAUAUAUUCUAGCUGCAUCAAUAUAAAUUUCAGCAUUGAUGUAGUAAUUGAAGAUCUGCAAUAUCCCUUAAAGAUUGCUUUUAUAUUAAUCUGCUAAUGGAAAGCAAGGUGAGCAGAGUGUUAUUAGACUGAGCAAUGUCAGCUACGUGUAAAGAAUGCUCUAAGGAGCAAAUGUAUGGGAGUCGAAAUUGCUCAUAUGACCUUCGCUAAGUUUUCAGAUAUUAGAUAUGAUUGCUCUAAUUCCCAGGCAAUUUCCCUCAGAGAAUCUAAGGUAUCUGGAAAAUUUUGUUCAGGAUUAGGGUCUGGCUAUCAUAGGAUACUGAUACCGCUUGUCUACAGUUUUGGUAUAUUAAGACAAUAUUCUACCUGUUCUAGAAGCAUCUAUUCCUGCUCUCCUAGUAUUCAGCUGGUAGCACAUUUCAAGUUAGUAAAGUCCCAGUAAUGACUAAACACUCUUAGAGAGCAUUCUGCUGCUAGCUCCCUAAUGAAGCACAGCACUCUGGGAUUUCCUCAAAGCCUUCAAUUUUGAACAGUGACAUUUCAAACAUUAACACCUAUAGAAAAAGAUGGAGAAGGGGGUGAUGGAAGAAGGCUUCAGUGUCCUUCCACGGGUAUCUCCAUGUGGAGUAAGCCUGCUCCUUAUAGGAAAGAAGAACAAGGACUGUACAGCACUGUCACCUCUUUCCUAAUUCUUCACUGUGUGACAUCAUGGAUUCCUCCAAGGACCUAUGCAGACCUAGAUGACAAUGUGCAAACAAACAAUGCCAAUGGAAUUUUGUCUAGAAGGUACUUUCAUUUACACCAAUGUGUUUUAAACAAACUCAUCGUUUCUUUAAGGCUCAGGAUAGAAACUAUUUUCCCAUCUCAUGAGAAGUGAUAUCUAUUGUCACUUAACAACCUCCAUAAACAUGCAGAAUAUUGUGCUGGUUGUCUACGUGUCUCAGUUUCUUUUCCAGGUGCUGUCAUGAAAUAUUCUGUCAAAAGCAACUCAAUGGAGAACGGUUUGUUCUGGUUCACAGGUCAAGAGUACAGUCUGUUAGAGUGGGUAAGUCAAGACAGUUGGAGCUUGAAGCAACUGGUCACAUCACCUCCAUUAUCAGGAAGCAGAAAGCUGCUACUGAAUGCUAACACUCAGCUCUCUUAUUCCUUGCGUACAGUCCAAGACCCCAGCAAGGAAUGCCACAGUCCACAGUAGGCAAUCUUCUCCUCUCUGUAUAAUCACCUACAGGCAUACACAGAGGUCUGUCUUCCAGGUCAUUCCAGAUUUAUGUAGUUGACACUAAACAUCCUAUCAGAGGUUGGAGUGACGACUCAGUGGUUAAAAGGGCCUACUGCUCUAGUAGAGGACUCAAGUUUGGUUCCCGAUACCCAUUCAGAGGGCUUACAACCACCACCUGUAACUUCAGCUCUAAGUGAUCCUUCAUCCUCUUCUUGAUUCAAAGGGCACUGUACUUGUGUACACAUAACCCCUUCCAGCCCCCAUAUAUACAUAGUAAAAAUAUAAAAUAGAUCUUAAGCAUCAUACUGAACUUUCCAUCAUUCUCUCAGAAUGUCCAUAUUUAUUUUUCUGAAAGUGAAAGUACAAGAAAAAGUUGAAAGAAUUCAAGUAUCUUAGUCAUUCAGGAAAGGAAAAAGAGAAGAUAUUUCCUGGUGGAAGAAAUGAGCCAGGAAUGGCUAGCUUCUGAUACCUCUCAGCAAGGUAGAGCCACAAAAGGACACAGAUCCAGACAGGACAUCCACGGAGAGCCAGGCCUGGGCAGAGCAUGCCAAGGUCAAGAACUAAAGUUCCAGAACAUCCAGCAAGAGUGAAUGCUUCAGGGCGGGGAGAGAAUGCAGGGUAGGCUGGGCACAGGAACAGAGAGGGACCAGCCCGGGUCACCUGUCCUUGUUCUAUGCCUCCCUACUUGAAUGUCCUGCCAGAAAGUCCUAAGGCAGAAGUUUGUUUUUUUUCUUAAUACAACUAGCAAAAUACAAAGCUACCAUAAUGGUCAGGACCACAAGAUAAAGCCUAGCUGAAAAGCAGUUCACAAAGCAGCACUCCACACAUGACUAGUCCUAGGAACCGGGAUUCUUGGAGAUUUUGAUGUGGUAGACUGAAAGGGAUCCAGGAAUGAGGUUUCCAUCCUCAAAGUGACUCUAGAGCCUGAUAGGAUGGGGGAAGGAGCUACACAGAACUGUGAGCUUUGAUGUGCUGCAAGUUUACUUACCAUGCACCUGAGGCAAGGAUUUUAAUACUUCAGAUGUUUGACUGCUUCAUGUAUAAAGCAUGAAAACUAAAUUGCCUCAUAAUGCCUGGGCACGUGGGGGGUUCAGUGGUUAAGAGAGUUUGCUACUGUUUCAGAGGACCUGGCUUUGGUUCCCAACACCCACAUGAUGGCUUACAACCAGCCCUAAUUCCAGUUCCAGGCCAUCUGACGCACUCUUCUGAACUCUGCAAGCACUAGGCACCCACAUGGUGCACAGAGGUACAUGCAGGCAAAACACUCACAUGCGUAGUACAAAAUACAUAAAUCUAAAAGAGUCUUAAUUGUCUUCUAAAAUCGACCUCUCCCGCCAUGAACACGGAGGGACUUGAACUUGGUAACUACCUCUGUCUGUAGAUUCCUUCACGGUAUUCUAGAUGUUAAGACUUGGUAUAUGACAGAAAACUCCCCGCUGUUUAGACAGAAGAUUUUCACUUGCUUUACAAAGAACAAUCUUGAAACUUUCAAAUGAAUAGGAAAUAAGAAUAACUAAGGAGAGAUCAGAUGUCAGACUGCAUUUGCUAAGUACAACCACUACCAGAGGAACCCUACACACCAGGCAAGGUAGAGAAGACUGAAGGAGAACGUAUUGACAUGUACAGCAUGACCAGCAUGUUACAGUCCUGAACCAGUGGUUUCCAGGGCAGCUCCUAUAUCUGGUAGUAACAGCUGCCCCAUCAUAGUGAUACAGUGGUCACAAUCUCACACGAGAGAACACACAUUUGGAGAGGCUUCAAAGGUAUUCAAAGACAAAAAUAGUGAAGAAAUGUGCAGUGAUUUCACUUCUGAAUUCAACUCAAGCUCCUAUCUUAUCAAAUAUGGCUGGCUUCUAGCCAGCAGCUUCCCAUUUCAUCAUGCAGACCAUCUUGGAACCCUAAGUUUGUUGAAAGAGAGACUCCAUGGGUAAAUGAUUGCAUCCCAGUACCUGUCUUAAUUUGGAGAAGUCUCUAUGCCAGUGAGGCAAACCCCAGUGUGUUGAACUCGAGGGGAGAGAUUGUGAUCUAGCUCUGAUCAACAAAGUGUUUGACGGAAAAAAAUGUUCUCACUCUCAGUCCUGAACAACAAUAAAUACUGUUUUCCAACAUAUUUCUAUAAUGCCUGAUCAUGAGGAAGGAAGCCUAGGAAAAAGGCAGACUCAUGAAAGAUCACAAAGUAGAAAGGAGAGAGAAAUCUGGGCCCUUGAUGAUGUCAUCGAGCUGCUGAACUGAGCACCAGGAAGCUGUCUUACUCUACACUCUUAUUAUGUAGUAUAACAAAUGCACAUGGCAUUUGUAAACUGGGUUACAUGUUAAUUGCAAGUGGAAACAUCCUGAGAGACAUAAAUUGCAUGGCAGGAGAUAAAACAGAUGAAGCACCAGCUCAGGAUGGUGGAGAGAGAACACCAUGUCGGUUUAUGAGCAACUCAAAUGGCAUGGAAAUGAAGAUUCCACCUGUAGAAGCAUGCAUACACACAUGGGGUUUUCAAAACAGUGUCUGAAGAACACGGCAAGUUCUUUCCUAACUUUAUCAGUUCAUGUCCCAAAGUCUCACAAGACUCCCUUACAUGGGUUGCUCAUUAAAAUUGUGGGAAAGCUUAAAAAUACCAAAGCUCAGGCCAUCCCUGGAGAUUCUGACUUAAUUGGUCCAGGAACUUCAACAUAGAUUUUUAAAAGCUCCCAAGGUAGUUCUAACAGGCAGGCCAGGUCAGGAGUGGCUUGCCAAUACCUUUCUGCAGAAAACAAGCAAAACACAUUGUUUCAAAUGCCGGGCUGCCUCAGGGAAUAAUCCAGGCUUGGCCAGAUCACACUGGAUGCACAAGAUCUCCUUUCCCUAGGAAUAUUCUAUUGUUUUAAAGAAUAGGGAGCGGGGCAGUGGGAGCAGAAGUCAGCAUUACAAAACCUCAGGCCACUCGGGGUUCUGCCGCUGUUGGGUAACAAAGGAGAAGCUGUAUAUCUUUUUCGGGUCUCUUCAGUUACUUGGAAUUGUGCGAAAUCAUGGACUGACCCUGGCCAGUCAAGUUGCCCCUUGUACAUAUGACAUGUAUUUUCUGCCAGGACACUGUAAGGAUCAGUUAAAUGACUUGUGUGAGAUGGUUUACAAACAGCAAAGCGUCCUUCCUGUCUGAGGUGUUGUGCUUAGUGAGUGAGCAGGUACAACAUUAGUCAUUUCCAGAGUGCCGCCCACUGGUUAGUCCGUGCUUGGAGCGCUGCAGUUGUUCAGGGUUUCUGUCUUUUCCGCUCAUUAGAUUCUUUUGGUGGGGAAGGACAGGAAUCAUCACCGCAUUGACUUCCUUCACAUUUUAAUUUAAGCUGUCUGCAGUGCGAAGUGGCCAUCCGGAAUUUUUAAAACCCUCUGCCUUCCUCGCCGGCAACUGGGGACCUCCAAAUCCAGAUCCAUCUAAACCGUGGUGUUCUGUAAGCCCUUUCCUCUUUCCUAUUUGUUCCAAGAGCCUCAGCUCUGACCUCUUGUUGGACCCUGAGUCCCAGUCAGCUGUGAUGCCCAAUUGCCUUACAGAGCACAGCUCGGGGACUUGGCCCUGAAUGCCUAGCUGCUUUAUGACGUCAGCUCUGGAAUCAGGUGAGAGCUUUGUCCUCUGAGUCAUGAUCCUCUGGGAUGAGGUUACCACUUGCACCCCCCCAGUCCCAGAUGCCUCCGGCUCAGUUUAUUCCAUUGACAAACUGCUGAGGCGGCUCCUACCUGGGCCCUCUGGGAUGUGUGGAUCUGAUCCACUCACCACCUGCAGGUCAUUUAGAGGCCAGGCAGCAAAUGGCUGGUGUGGGGGUGUGGGAGGGGGUGUUCUUCCUAUCCCAAUUGUCCUAUCUGCUGUUACAUUUACUGCCUUAGGAAACCACUCCAGGAUCAUCACCCACUCUUGGAAUUAGAGGAAUAAAUACGGGCAGGAAGACCAGUUCUCACUCAGGUGGAGUCUGGUGCCACCUUUUCACUGGAACUUCAUAUAGAUGGGCAGGGCUUGAAAGAGCUGCUGAUGGCCCAGUGUGGUUUAGGACUGUGAGAUCUUCUUUCGGGAAAGACACAUACUGGAGAACCCUGUCACUGGUUAGGGAAAACAGGAGACCUGCAAUCCUCUGCAGCACUGAGAAGGGCUGUCUCAAAUCACUGCUGGCAGCUAUCCCCCUGCCUCAAUACCCAGACAUUCUGUGUCUUGCUCCUCAGUUAAUAGUUUUCCUGUUAUUGUGGUUAUGGGUCUUCAGAUCAUUAAGUCACUCACUGAACUGUGAACUCCCAAAUGGCAGAGCAUAGUUUUACUUCACCUUAGGGUCAGAUGGGAACUGAUGAGCACCAAGUCUGGGUAACAAUGAACGAGCGGAUGAACUGUGAAGAAACUAAAGAAGAUUUGAAAGGAUGAAUGUUUCAGAAAGCGUCUCCCUCUGUGUUUGGAGGAGCACUCUCUGUGACCACAGCACAACACUUCUUCAACAAGCUGGUCCUCUACCCUUCUCUCCUUAAGUGAGCAGAUGUGCUUGGCCCCUGCUUCUCUCCUGGACACAGGAUGAGUUUUCUGUCGGUUCUCACUGGGAUGCAACUCUUCCAGAGCACUCAGUGUGGUGCCUCCACCCUCCUCCGGGCAAAGACUCUCUUUGUUUGUGCCAUGUACUGUUUUCAACGGUUCCCUCUGUUCAUCCACAGCAGAAACGGGCUGUAGCUGACAGCACCCCUUUGUGACGUUGCUGCUUCAGGAUGACAUCUAUGAGGGCUGCUCUGGUCCCCACUGGUGAUGCACAAAGGUUGGGGAAACCAGAUUUCUGGGAGGAGUGACAGACUGCACAUUGAGAUACUCUCAACAAACAAUGUCAUCUAGAAUCAUCACAAGAACAAUGAUACUCUAUGCAGAGACCUCUAGAAAUUUACUAUCUGUGAUACUUGUAGCAGAGUAAAUACCAUGUAUAAUAAAAGAACUCCUUUUAUUGAUA